GACGAACGCUGGCGGCGUGCUUAACACAUGCAAGUCGAACGGAAAGGCCCUGCUUUUGUGGGGUGCUCGAGUGGCGAACGGGUGAGUAACACGUGAGUAACCUGCCCUUGACUUUGGGAUAACUUCAGGAAACUGGGGCUAAUACCGGAUAGGAGCUCCUGCUGCAUGGUGGGGUUUGGAAAGUUUCGGCGGUUGGGGAGGGACUCGCGGCUUAUCAGCUUGUUGGUGGGGUAGUGGCUUACCAAGGCUUUGACGGGUAGCCGGCCUGAGAGGGUGACCGGCCACAUUGGGACUGAGAUACGGCCCAGACUCCUACGGGAGGCAGCAGUGGGGAAUAUUGCACAAUGGGCGGAAGCCUGAUGCAGCAACGCCGCGUGCGGGAUGACGGCCUUCGGGUUGUAAACCGCUUUCGCCUGUGACGAAGCGUGAGUGACGGUAAUGGGUAAAGAAGCACCGGCUAACUACGUG
Molecule: ribosomal RNA, 468 nt
Filed under: uncultured bacterium
Lineage: Bacteria
Description: partial 16S ribosomal RNA
Rfam family: Bacterial small subunit ribosomal RNA
Source: RNAcentral